UUUUUUUUUUUUUUUUUUUUUUUUUUUUUUGUCUUUUGUCUUUUGUUGUUGUUGUUGUUGCUAUUUCUUGGGCCGCUCCCGUGGCAUAUGGAGGUUCCCAGGCUAGGGGUUGAAUUGGAGCUGUAGCCACCAGCCUACGCCAGAGCCACAGCAACUCGGGAUCCGAGCCGCGUCUGCAACCUACACCACAGCUCACGGCAACGCCGGAUCGUUAACCCACUGAGCAAGGGCAGGGACCGAACCCGCAACCUCAUGGUUCCUAGUCGGAUUCGUUAACCACUGCACCAUGACGGGAACUCCCAUUUAAAUGUUUAAAGCAAAAAUUUAAAACCCUGCUAGAGAUGUUAUUGGCAAGUAGGCUGAAAGGUCAUUUGGUUUUAGUUUUCAGUUCUGAUGUGUAAAAACGGUUUUGGAUUUUUCAAAUCGGUUAAUCAUAAUGAUAAUUUUAUCAAAGACAUGCCAGUUUGAAUACCUGCUAAUUUUGCAUUUUUCUUGUGAAAUGGAUUAAAGGAAUGGGCCAUACCACAUUUGAAAAAGCCUUUCCAGGGAUUUUGUUCAUACUUUUACUCACUCAAUUUUUAGGAAAGAAAAAUACCGGCCAACUUACAUCCAUUUCCAAGAACAGUGAAGAAGUAUAUAAAUAGUAGAUUAAAAAUAAAUGCUGCCAUAUUUGGCUCUUUUAACAGCUAUCAGAGUGUGUUGUCAAGAAAAAAAAAAACAUCUAAUGUUUCAAAUAAAACUGUUUUGUGUUGCUCUCUUUACUCUAAAAAAUUCUUGUGAGACUUGUUUUUGUAAAUAUUUUAGCCCAAAUAUGAAUUAGCUCCUCAACACUACCUCUGAGGUCAGGGGAAGGUUUGGGGGACUCAAGUGUACAGGACUGGUAAGGUAUAAACAUGGUGACAGAGAAGCAUUCAAAGCAACAGGUAAAUUAAUUAGUACACUUGCCUACAUUGUUGCCUAGUGUUAUGAAGAUAAUUUAUUAUUACUCCUAAUAUCUUUUUUUAUUCUUUGUUAAAGUUAAAAUCAGAUGACAUAGCUUGUAACCUGUAUUUAUAUGCUCUAUAUAUUGUAAAAACAAAAACUAAAAAAAGGAACCUCAAUUAAAAAAAAAAUAGAAACCUUGAGAGAAUGAGAAGCUGCAGACACAACUGCUUUGAAAGUGCCUCAUUUCAAUCCAAAGGAAAAGGAGAGUCAAGUUUGUUAAGUCUGGACCCAUACUUCAUCUCAUCAUCCAAAAGUUGAGUCUGUUUACUAAAAGAGUAGAGUUUUCCUGUAAUGUCAUCGUUAAAAAAAUAAUUCUAAGAAUUGGUGAUUUGAAGCUUGAGGUUGCAAAUGUUUUUAUGUGGUGUUUACAGUAGAAAUUGCUAUUUGUUCACUUACAGUUAUAAAUUGAGGUUUUCAGAGGAGGCUAAUUAGUAAAUCAACCAAUCCUGUGACGAGCCCACAAACUGGGAACUCAGAGGCCUCCAGGAAGCUCUCCAGGAAAUAAUACAGUUACAGGUAUUACUCCUUGUAAAGAUUAUUUUACAGGUAAAAAACUAUGGUUCUAGACUUGUGGUUGUCAAGGGUGGGGGGAGUGGGAUUGAUUGGGAGUCUGGGGUUAAUAAAUGUAAACCACUGCAUUUGGAAAGGAUAAGCAAUGAGAUCCUGCUGCACAGCAGUGGGAACUAUAUCUACUACUCAUUUAUGAUGGAACAUGAUGGAGGAUAAUGUGAGAAAAAUAAAGUAUAUAUGUGUGUAACUGGGUCACUUUGCUGUACAGUAGAAACUGACAGAACACUCUAAACCAACUAUAAUGGAAAAAAUAAAAAUCAUUAAAAAAAGAAAAAAGAAAGGUCAAAAAAAUUAAAAAUCCUUAAGAAGAUGUGGUAUAUAUACAUAAUGGAAUACUACUCAGCCAUAAAAAGAACAAAAUAAUGCCAUUUGCAGCAAUAUGGAUGGAACUAGAGACUCUCAUACUAAGUGAAGUAAGUCACAAAGAGAAAGACAAAUACCAUACGAUAUCACUUAUAUCUGGAAUCUAAUAUAUAGCACAGAUAAACCUUUCCACAGAAAAGAAAUUCAUAGACUUGGGGAACAGACUUGUAGUUGCCAAAGGGGGGAGGGAGGGAGUUGGGUGGACUGGGAAUCUGGGGUUAUUAGAUGCAAACAAUUGCAUUUGGAGUGGGUAAGCAGUGAGAUCCAGCUGUACAGCAAUGGGAACUAUAUCUAGUCAUUUGUGAUGGAACAUGAUAGAGGAUAAUGUGAGAAAAUAAUGUAUAUAUAUGUAUGUGUAACUGGGUCACUUUGCUGUAAACCAACUAUAAUGGAAAAAAUAAAAAUCAUUAAAAAAUAAAUAUUAAAAAUUUGCUGAGGGUGAGGGGAAAUCCUAAAAAGCAAACAAAACAAAACAAAACAACUAUGGUUCUAACAGUUAGAUUAAAAAAAACCCCACAGAAUCUCACUUCUCUGGAAAGUACAAAAUGAUAAUACAAUAUGUGGGGCAGAAAUGGGAACUAAUUUCUUCCUGUAUGUAAAAAAACUGCUUUGUAGAGAUAAUUUUUCAUCUUAUAAUUAACCUAAAAGUCUGAUCUAGAUUUUCUGUUCCAUUCAUGCCUAUCAGAAAAAUGUCUGACCCUCUCCAGCCCUCUAAUUUAUGCUGGUACUUUCGUCUUUUACCAGGAAACACCAAUGGACUAGUUCUCAUUUUCAAAUGGCAAAAAGUAAUAGGUGAAUGAACGUGGAUCUUUCGCAGAGAACAUUAUAUGGAGGAUGUAUUAAACAGCAUUAAGAAUUGAAGUAAAAUUCACCUCCUUUUUGAAAAAUAAGGGUUUGGGGGAGUUCCCGUCGUGGCGCAUAUUUCAUUACAAGCUAAAGCAUACAACUGAUUUGGGGUCUACCUCUUUCUUAAGCUUCACCAAUUACAUCUCUCAUGUAACUACCUGAAAGAAUUUAUUCACUGUUUACCUAAAAAAAAGAAAAAAAAAGAAAAAAAAAA
This 2977-nucleotide long non-coding RNA is filed under the name Sus scrofa (pig). Its description in RNAcentral is "lncRNA (ENSSSCG00065027980.1)". Lineage: Eukaryota; Metazoa; Chordata; Mammalia; Artiodactyla; Suidae. The record is from RNAcentral.